This 414-nucleotide non-coding RNA is filed under the name Zea mays. The record is from RNAcentral. Lineage: Eukaryota; Viridiplantae; Streptophyta; Magnoliopsida; Poales; Poaceae.
CUCAUGCUAGGCUCAAUCGAGACUCUUUGACUUGCUGCACACAAUUAGACACAGGAGCCUCCUCGACCUGUGCAUGGGUGCAUACAAUUACCGUGUGAUUGGUUGCCCAGCUCUCAACGCCUAGGCUCCUCACGAGUGUUGACUGCGCCUGCAUUUCUGAUUGGUUGGCUGCACGGCUGCGCCCGGAAUGUGCGGGUGCAAGCAAAUCUAUUUUACGCUCCUCGGCGGCUGCCGGCAACCAAUCAAGAGAAAGAUGCUUCAGGCGGAGAGUUUCACUGCUCAUCGUGUCUACUGAUCUAUUGUUAUGUUGCUCGCCAGCCCCUUUGGUCACCGAAGUCCAAACCCUAAAGCUGUUCAACAAAGAGUUGUACUCCCUCCCUCGGUUCCAAAAUAAAAUUCGUUUUAACUUUUUAA